GAGGGUAUAGCUCAGUGGUAGAGCACAUGCCUAGCAUGCAAGAGGUCAUGGGUUCAAUCCCCAGUACCUCCA
Transfer RNA from Camelus ferus (Wild Bactrian camel), 72 nucleotides. It matches the Rfam family "tRNA". From Rfam's summary of the family: Transfer RNA (tRNA) molecules are approximately 80 nucleotides in length. Their secondary structure includes four short double-helical elements and three loops (D, anti-codon, and T loops). The record is from Rfam. NCBI's taxonomy places the organism in Eukaryota, Metazoa, Chordata, Mammalia, Artiodactyla, Camelidae.